GGGCACGCCUGCCUGGGUGUCAC
Molecule: ribosomal RNA, 23 nt
Filed under: Acer pictum subsp. mono
Lineage: Eukaryota; Viridiplantae; Streptophyta; Magnoliopsida; Sapindales; Sapindaceae
Description: partial 5.8S ribosomal RNA
Source: RNAcentral